UACCAUGUCAGAUACAGCGGCAUAAGUGACUCAUACAAAUAAACCAAAAACUAGCCGCGAGAAAAGAAGACAAAACCAGCCCGGGAUUAUGUAAAUGAGCGGCAAAAAAGAAGAAGAAGUUCAGCGCGAACACGUAUGGGAGGCGGAGAUUUGAUGUCCAUACUGUUGAAAUUUCUUUAACCAAGCGCGUGCAGCAAUGUUUGCUUUCCAAGACCAGAAUGUAAAGCUGUCUGUGGAAGAAACACAUCCUGAUCCAAGAUAUGUUCAGCUUCAGGAUGAGGAAGGUCAACAGACGCUUUUACAUCAGGAAAUUCAAGGGACCCUCAGUGUGCUAAGAUUCCCAGGCAAGUUCCAUGAGCAAGGGACAAAACAUACCCUUUUCACCUGUAUGCACAUUCUUAUUGUUGUACUCAAAUUGCAUUCUUGUUACUAUGUUGGUUAUAAAGCUCAGUACUCAAGUUUCCAGUAACAUUACUUAAUCAUGUAAUUUAGAGUCAGUAGUACAGUGCUUUAUAAUAUUAAGCCAUAUAAAUGAGCCAUCCAAGCAUUAUUUUUGUCAGAACCAACCGAACAUGCAAUUUCUUGUAAGGGAUUUUUAAUUUUAAUUGAUUAUGAAAGCCAUCAGAGUAAGGAGUCAAUGAAGUAUCAGAUAUGUGUUUGUUUAUAUGAACUGAACCAGCUCUACAAGAGAGUCUUCAAACAGCCGGUCUGCCAUGAUGCUUGAUGAGGAAUGCCUCAUCAACUUGCCUUAGAAGAUGGAUCACUGCCAUCAGCAGAGUAUUCAGGUGCUGGCAUCGCUCAGACCGUAAUGUGCAGUUAUCCGUGGAAGAAACGGUGCUGUGUUCUCAUCUAAGCUCCGUGCAGCCCUGGGUUCUGAAUGAAGAUGACGGAGGAAUGAUUUUGCACCACAUUCAACCACGCAGUUAGGCCUGUCGAUGUCACUGUCUAUACAAUUAUACAAUUAAAUUAUGUUUUUAAUAUAAAUCAGUUUUGUAUAUUUGUGAUAGAUAAAUAAAUGUAUAUAACUGCUAAAGAAGUGUCCAUUAUUUUCUUUUUAUUUCCUUUUUUAUCUUUUUACUAGGUCUUCAUGAUCUGGCU
This is a long non-coding RNA of Ictalurus punctatus (channel catfish), 1098 nucleotides long. RefSeq lists it as uncharacterized. The transcript has 4 exons. Lineage: Eukaryota; Metazoa; Chordata; Actinopteri; Siluriformes; Ictaluridae. The record is from RefSeq and is a predicted model, not a curated record.